UACGUAGGCAGCAAGCGUUGUUCGGAGUUACUGGGCGUAAAGGGCGCGUAGGCGGCCCGGUAAGUCAAAGGUGAAAUCCCUCGGCUCAACUGAGGAACUGCCUUUGAAACUGUCGGGCUUGAGGCCGGGAGGGGGUAGCGGAAUUCCCAGUGUAGCGGUGAAAUGCGUAGAUAUUGGGAGGAACACCGGUGGCGAAGGCGGCUACCUGGACCGGUUCUGACGCUGAUGCGCGAAAGCGUGGGUAGCAAACAGG
This 253-nucleotide ribosomal RNA is filed under the name uncultured bacterium. RNAcentral describes it as "partial 16S ribosomal RNA". It matches the Rfam family "Bacterial small subunit ribosomal RNA", at positions 524 to 776 of the family's 1533-position model. The record is from RNAcentral.